GCCAGCAGUCAAGCCACAACCAACCUUUUCUUCAAUUCUUCCAUCUCCCUCCUCUCCAAAGAAACAGAAACCCUAGCCUCACCGCCGCAAGCUACAAGAAGUGAGCCACCACCGCAGUCCGUUGCAGUCAAGGGCAGGUAUAAAGCACAGAAGCCUCACCUCCUAACCCUAGAGCUCCUUCUCUGAUUUCUUUUAUCUCCUUCCUUCUCCCCAAACAAAAACGAAAACCCUAGCCUGGUCGCCGUCUGUCGCAGUCAGGGGAUCGUCUCUUCAUUCCGUUGGCGUCCUCCAAAGAAGAACCCCUGUUGGCUCUCGGUCUUCGUUCUCUACUAUCGACGUUGUCUGCUCACAAUCGUCCUUCAAAGUAUUCUGCAAUAUGCUUUAAUGAAAUGGCUCAAGAUUGAAGAUGACGAGACAAUAUUCUUCAGAAAGCAACACGUACAGUGAGAUUACCACCUCUAGAAGAACUGUUUCUCAUGAUCUCAAAUCUGUGUUUUGAUGUUUUUUGAGUUUGAUCACUAUCUUUUUCUUCAUUGUCUUGUCUUUUUACUCCUUUACUACUCUUCGAUACUCUAUGUUUUUGUAGUGUAACCUUUGCUCGUUCCUUCUCUCCAGAAAGGUUGUUGCAGGAUUUGGUACUUGAUGUUAGUUUAGAAGAAGCCAAUUUUGAAUGAAAUCAGUUUUACAUCUUAUUAGUUUGGUGUUUGUUGACUGAACCAGAUUGGUAGGAAAAUCUUCACCAAAAGCUAUAAUUAUAUUUUAGGAUAUAUAUUUAUAAUUUAUUUAUUAUUUUAUUCUAUAACAAUUUUUUUAGUUGAACCACGAUUAGAUCGGUUGAACCGAUAAACCCGAAAAUCAGUGACUUAAACGGUUCGAUAAUCGGUCCGAUUCUUAGAACCUUGCUGUCUGAUGUGCCAAGAAUUAGGGGAAAUAGUAAAUCAUUGCAUAUUGGACUGUAAGCUUGCAAGAGAAAUUUGGCGAAAAGCUGAAUUUGAAAAUUUCCUCACCUUCAACAGCUCUGAAGAUUUCUGGAGGCAUUGGAUGAAGCCGAUAGAGGCGCUGAAGAGAAGACCCAAUUGGAAGACAAACACUGCUCUUGCUGCAAUUCUCGCUUGGAAGAAUUGGAUAGCACGGAACCUUAAAAUCUUUGAAGCCAAGGACUCCUCUAUUGAUGUGCUCUAUUCAUCUGUCGUGGAACUCCUUGAAGAAUUUGGGUAGAGAAAUGAAAGGUAUCAUUUGGCUGGAUUUGAUGGAGUAUCCACAGAAAAAGAGAAGAAGGCGAAUGAUGCUGUCAACCCUGAACUCUCUGCACUCAAACUUGAAUAACUCGAGCUACAUAGGUCCAAUGGACGUGAUUUUAGUGGCGUUGGAAAGCUAACUUCCAGAGCUUUCCAACGAUAUAUAAUAGUUCAUACUUCUCUUCCAUCAACUCUGCCAAGGCUGCGCCUAACUUGAGAAAUCUCAAGUUAUGCGCAAGACACAACAACAACACAAGUAAGGCGCAGCAAAGAAGGCCCCUUAAACCAAGUAAGGUGCACUUCCACCCCUCAAUCCAAGUAAGGUGCAGCAUUGAAGGGCAAGAUCAAGUUAGGCGUGGUCCACCCAUGAAUCUAGCAAGUAAGGCGUGCUCUUCAGUUGAAGUUAGGCACCUUGCGCCUUGUGUGGUGAACAGCAUGAAGUUAGGUGUGGAUUCUAGUGAAGUCAAGUGGUCCCAUGUUACAAGGCGCGGAUUAUUUAAUUAAUUCUGAUUUAAAUUUAAAUUUUAUUUUUUUUAAUAGAAAAAGAUAUUAUUUUAAUUUUAGAAAUUAGAUUUUAAAUUAAUUAGGAUUAGAUAUAAAAGAGAAAAGAAACUUCUCUUCUGGGGAGAAUUCCAUUCCACCUCAUUCGAAAUUUACAGUUUACCAGAAUCCUAGUUUUCACUCAUUUCCAUGAGUAACUAAACCUCCACUGUUAAGGUUAGGAGCUCUGUCUAUUGUAUGGAUUCAUUCUGUUUCUUUUUUUUUCCUAUUUUAAUUCAUGUACUGAUUUAUAUUUCAAGAAUUGUUUUCGUUCUUUAUUUUAUGAA
This is a long non-coding RNA of Arachis stenosperma, 2065 nucleotides long. RefSeq lists it as uncharacterized. The record is from RefSeq and is a predicted model, not a curated record. The transcript has 3 exons. Lineage: Eukaryota; Viridiplantae; Streptophyta; Magnoliopsida; Fabales; Fabaceae.